AUAUAUAUAUAUAUGUAGACCCUCUUGUACUCAUAAAUUUUUAACCGUUGAUUGAUGGGAUGUGUGGUUAAAAUGAUGGUGGUCUCCACUUAAAAUGAUAGUCGUCCCCUAGGGUUGAGUGGGUAGUUGGUUAAAUAGUAUGUUCUAACGGAUCAAAAAAAUUAAUAGAAUAAAUCUCAGGGCCGAAAACUUAUGAGUAUAAAGGAGCCCAUACUCAUAAA
RNAcentral lists this long non-coding RNA (221 nucleotides) under Ananas comosus (pineapple). Its description in RNAcentral is "long non-coding RNA (ACOM_LNC009965)". The record is from RNAcentral. Lineage: Eukaryota; Viridiplantae; Streptophyta; Magnoliopsida; Poales; Bromeliaceae.